AACAAUAUAUAUAUGAAUAUAUAUAUAAUUGUGGAUACAACAUUUCGGGCAUUGCCCAACUUCAGGUAUCACUAAUUGAACAGUAAAUCCGUAAACGAAAACAUUCUGCUGGAUAUUGAGAUAUAGAUUGGAGUAGAGUGUUAGUUCAAAUAGUAAAUGAGUAUUGAAUAAGAGUUAUCGCAUUUGUUUUGUUAUUUAGUUGCUUGGUGAGUUACGUGUUUGAUUAUUCAACAAAACUAGUAGUUAAGUUAGGCGUGCGUCUCGCAGUUUAUAUUGAAGCAUAGAAUUUUAGGGCAAACCUACACUGAUUAAGUUGUGGAGUUAGCAUUCAAACGUUUGUGUAGUUAGAUCUAUAACUUGGUAGUGAACAUGGCUCUAUAAACAUAACAAACAAUAAGAAGGAAUAGACUAAUUUGCUAUUUAUACGUGGACUGGACACAUUAUAACUACUAAUAAUAUUCCAGUUGUUUUGAGGAUCUUCAUGUAUUACAAAAUGACUUGGAGUAAUUGGUAUGAUGAAGAAAUACUUGGGUUACUAACUUAUGGAAUGAGUUUGUGUCAGCAGUAGCAGAGGCCAGCAAUUUACAGGAGUUUAAGAGGGAAGUCAAUGAUUUCCUGAGAAGCAAAAACCAUGACUCACUCUUCCUCUUUGUAAUGUUGACUGGCAGUGGGAAGAUUAGAACAAUAAGAAUACGCAGAAGAGAAAAGUAAUAUUGGAGUUCAACCAGUCCUUGGAGUGCACCUGAUGUUAUAUGGGAUAAAAUAAUAAAAAAAAACAGUUUUACAUUAAAUUGUUAUUUAUUUGUACUGAAUAACCUGUACUGAAUUUUUACUAAAGUGAAAAUGCAGUAAUGGGUAAAAAAUUUCUUAGGAUUCAAAGAGAGGUAUGCUGGGGUUCAAAUAAAACAUCCCAUAUAUGGACCAUAUGAAUUAUUUUGGUUUGCAUUGAACAAAAAACAAAAACAACGUAUGUUAAUGUAAAAUAAACAAGGAAUGUUGUUUCAAAGUAUUUUAAUACUGCAUGUAAAUAAAAGUAGUUGCUGGCAUUGAUAUUGUCCAUGAACUCCAAUGGUUCAUUAAAAUAGAACAAUUUAAAAGGAAGGAACUGAGUCAGCUGUGGACCACAUUAAACAGAACAAUGUUUUGUAGUCUGCAAAAGUGGUGGCAUGCAAAAAGGUUCAGUCCUCAUUUUUACAUUUUGGUAUGCAUGCUCACUGAUGGAUCACUUAUUUGAAGCCCUAAGUAUAUUGAUUUCAAGCACAUUUUUUCAAUUUCAGUUAACAUUUGAAAAAUGCCAUUAUCAUUAUCUUAGUUAAAAAUCAUUUUAGAUUAUUUUGUAAUUUAUUGUAAAGCAGAAAUUUCAUGUAACUGGAUAACUAUUCCAAAAAUCAAAAUAUAAUGUUGAGUUUUAUUAAUACUCUUCUUUCAUUUAGUCAGUAAUUAACAGUAUUCAAAUAAAAAAGGACAUUAUGUUCAGUAAUCACCCUAAUGUUUAAGUCAGAAUACUUUUACUUUUUUUUGGAACUGGUGAUCUUGUGUACCUUAUAGCAAGAUAAAAUGAACUUGGAAAAAUAAAGACAGAUCACUUGCAAAACUUGGAAAAUUUGUGUGUUUUUCACACUAACAUUAUGUAAAAUUAUGAGAACUCAGACACACUGAAAUAAGGUGUGUAGAAAUUGGUAAUUUAAGGCAAUAGAGAGAAAAAUAAAUUAAAACUAUUAUUCUUCCCAUUAUGAAAGUGUGUAUAAAAUCAUUAUUACAUUGUUUUUGGUGAAUUUCUAAUCACUUGUGGUAAUUUAUAGAUUUUGAUGUAAUACUGAUGAGAUCAAAUUAUUCACUUUGUUAAAAUUAAUCAAUUAUGUAUAUGUUUACUCUGUGUAUUGAGCCAGAUUUGAAAUGGUGUUAAAGGUGGAACAGUCAACAGGUUCAACUCAGCAUUGGGGAAAUAGUUACUGGAGGACUCAAAGGGUGUUUUAGAACAUUACCUUCUUCUUUGCUUGUACUGGAACGUGGUUCCUCAGAAGAAAGUCCAGUAUUGUUGCUCCGAAGAUCUGAUCCAACUCCAGAAGAAGACCACAGUAAUCUAGAAUGUACAAGAAGUUUGCUGUAGAAACUCCUUUGGUAAAUAAAGGUGAAGGAAAACAGGGAGUUCUCGGUUAGCAGUUUGAACAACAGUAUAGUUUGUGAAGAGAUCCAGAUUGGUAGUGAAACAUGCUAAGGACUUUAAGAAAGAAAAUUGAAUAUUUUUAUGAGAUGAAAAGCAAUAAGUCUGCUCCAAGUCGGCCAGACACAACAGGCAGUUGUAGAGUGCCUCCAAGCAUCACAAAGUGUAAUUACCAAGAUAUGGACUCAUUUUCAGACCAUCAAGACUGUCCAUAAUCUAUUCGCCAGGAUAGGCUAGACACAACUGGCGGGCUUCAGUUUAGUCCAACAACAUGACAGUAAGGAAACAAUCAGAAACAGCUUCAUAGAGACACAUACCCAACUGUGGAAGUUACUUUAACCCAAAACGCCUAUCUUCAGUCGCUUUAAUAACACAUGGAUUAGUCAAACGACACGUGGGAGAAUAUCUUGUUCACAAAUAAAUCCUCUCACAAUUCGGUCAGAUAUAAUGUGUAUAUUCAUUUGAAAUGACACAUCCAAAUUCAGUUUCCCGGAUGAAAAAUUUGUGUAUGGUGUCAGUGGUAUAUUAGUGAACACACUGAUCUGUAUGUGACACGAUACAGGGAUACAAUAUUACAACCAUUAAUGAUGCCUAUAAAGGUGCAACUUAGUCAGGACUUUCGUUUAAUGGAUGGUAACGAACUCUCCCUCUGUAGUCAGCUGGUUAGCAAUUUCUUGGAAAAAGAGGGUAUGGAGACAAUGAACAGCUAGUACAGUCACCAAACUUGAAUCAGAUUGAACUAGCAUUGAGCAUUAUAGUUGAGGUGGUUGUUCUUUCUUGUAUUUGUACCUAACAUUUUAUUUGAAAUGGGUGGUCUUUCUUGUAUUUGUAAUGAACAUUGUAUUUGAAAUGGGUGGUCUUUCUUGUAUUUGUACUGAAAAUUGUAUUUGAGAUGGGUGGUCUUGUAUUUGUAUUGAAAAUUGUAUUUGAGGUGGGUGGUUUUUCUUGUAUUUGUAUUGAACAUUAUAUUUGAGAUGAGUGGUCUUUCUUGUAUUUGUAUUGAACAUUGUAUUUGAUGUGGGUGGUUCUUCUUGUAUUUGUAUUGAACACUGUAUUUGAAGUUGGUGGUUUUUCUUGUAUUUGUAUUGAACAUUGUAUUUGAAGUGGGUGGUUUUUCUUCUAUUUGUAUUGAACAUUGUAUUUGAGGUCAGUGCUUUUCCUUCUAUUUGUAUUGAAAAUUAUUUUUGAGGUGGGCAUUUUUUGUAUUUGUAUUGAACAUUGUAUUUGAGGUGGGUGUUUUUUCUCGUAUUAGUAUUGAGCAUUAUAGUUGAGGUGGGUGGUUUUUUUUAUUUGUAUUAAACAUUGUAUUUGAAAUGAGUGGACUUUCUUAUAUUUGUAUUGAACAUUGUAUUUGAGAUGGGUGGUUUGUCUUGUAUUUAUGUAGAACAUUGUAUUUGAGUAGGGUGUUUUUUCUCGUAUCUGUAUUGAACAUUAUAGUUGAGGUGGAUGAUUUUUCUUGUAUUUGUAUGGAACAUUAUAGUGGACAUGGAUGGUUUUUAUUGUAUUUGUAUUGAACAUUGUAUUUGAGGUGGGUUUUCUUUCUUGUAUUUGUAUUUAACAUUUUAUUUGAAAAGGUUGGUCUUUCUUGUAAUUGUAUUGAACUUUGUAUUUGAGGAGGGAGGUUUUUC
Long non-coding RNA from Limulus polyphemus (Atlantic horseshoe crab), 3792 nucleotides. RefSeq lists it as uncharacterized. NCBI's taxonomy places the organism in Eukaryota, Metazoa, Arthropoda, Merostomata, Xiphosura, Limulidae. The record is from RefSeq and is a predicted model, not a curated record. The transcript has 6 exons.